UUUUCCUUUUUCUUUUCUUUUCUUUUCUUUUCUUCUUCCUUCUUCUUUUCUUUUCUUCUUUUCUUCUCUUUUCCUGUGGGUUCCUUUGGGCCAAAACAGGAGACCGUGAGGUCUCCUCGUUGGUUGGCCGGACUCCGACGAGGGGAGGCGACAUCCACUCGACGGCGACAAAGCAAGACCGGUCGGCAGCGAGAUUCGACCAGCGAGCCGAAGGAUUUUCGAAAAAACAGAGGACCGUCCCUAUUUUUUUUUAUUUUCCGGUCGUUGGCUUGUCACCGGCGGCCAAAACUUUCAGGGAAGGAAGAGUGAGAGACGAGGGUCCGAUCUCGAGGAUGGAACGCCGCAACCGGCGGUGCCGAUGGUCGAAAAAGAGAGGGAAGAGUCCGACCAAAACAGAGCAAAAACAGGGGUCAUCUUGUUCAUGAAUUUUCUGGCGAUCCUGACGGCCGACGAUGAGUCUAAAACCAUGGGAAGAAAGAAAAGAGGGAGAGGAAGAAAGAUUGAACCCUUAUCUGAACUCUGGUGGUCUCUUCGACCUUCAAUUUCCGACGAAUACGAAAAGAGGCUACCGCGGCUUCUACGGAGAAAAAGAGAGGAAUCGAGCUCGAAGAUCACCGGUGGAGGGUCUUGAGAGAGGGAGAGACUUAUUUAUAGGGGUUCCUAGGGCUCGGGUGAUCCUAAGACUCUCCUUCCAUCCGAGAUUCAUCGGAGAAGAAGACUCCCGAAGGGAGUCUCCUUCUGCUCUUUAUUUUUUUUUGUUUGGAUUUUGGGCUUGAUCCUGGGCCGGGAUGUUACACGUUCUAACGAAGAGAGUACUACUUCAGCUUAGAACAGAAAAAAGACCGGCACAUAAGUCAACACGGAAA
This 866-nucleotide long non-coding RNA is filed under the name Elaeis guineensis (African oil palm). RNAcentral's name for it is "long non-coding RNA (EGUI_LNC077007)". The record is from RNAcentral. Lineage: Eukaryota; Viridiplantae; Streptophyta; Magnoliopsida; Arecales; Arecaceae.